Molecule: long non-coding RNA, 2410 nt
Filed under: Penaeus japonicus
Lineage: Eukaryota; Metazoa; Arthropoda; Malacostraca; Decapoda; Penaeidae
Description: uncharacterized LOC122266216
Source: RNAcentral
GUUCUUGUGUGUCCAAAGACUGACAGGGUUUCAUAUAGCAUCGUCUUACCUCCGUUACAUUCGGAAGACCAGAAAUAAAAGAGAUUAAGCACACAAUCAUUACAAGAAUCUCGUGAUGCUUCAGGUAUUUCUUGAUCCAUUUCGGAAACUCAUCUUGGAGAGAAGUAAUGAUAACCUGUAACGAGAUAUUCAUGUAGCCUUAUUUGGAAGUUUUUUGAGUUAUUUGCAUAUUUAUUCAUUAUCCAUUCGUUUUAAUUGUUUGACAUGAACUUUGCUUUCUUUUCUCGUUGAAUUUCACAAUACACUUUCGUCUAGACUUCUAGAAAUUUACUUAUGCAGUAGUUACCUUUAAAUUAUAUAAAAAGAGAUUAAUGUUAAAUCGAUCAAUGAUGACUUGUUAUAAAGUAGCAAAAUUGAGACUUUUUGCUUAUAUCAGUUUUUUUUCUCAUUUAAGACUGUUUCCAAGUAACUCCAGAGACAAGACAGAUAAAAUAUCCAAGUUACCACAAUAAACAACCUUAGCUUACCUCAACAUUGGCAAACUGUGAAUCGAGACCAAAGAUAAGGAGCAUUAAGAAGAAGAGGACGGACCACACCGCUGCGUAGGGCAUUUUGGCGAGCGCUUGAGGGUAUACUGUGAACACCAGACCUGGACCUUGGAGCAAUGUUGCCAAGGGUUGAGAAGACAAUCAUCCCAGACAAAACAGACGUAAAGGAGUUGCUAUACCUGGGCAUCCAUGAGUAGUUCCCACCGAGGUCUGAAAAAGUACUGAAGACCAUCGCUAGCUCCCGGGAGUGUCAGCGCUCGCCAGAGGAAUGCGCCGAUGAGAAGGUACGGAACGGUCGCCGUCACGUACACAACCUGGAAAGGGGAAAGACGACUUAAUGGACUUCCAGAUGCAAAAGUACACAAGUACCCAAGCGGCCAAAAGAGCGAGCACCAGCUCCACCCUGACUGAUCCCAUCGCCUCUAUGCCCGCACUUUUCUGUAGAACGACUUCUCUGGAAAAAGCACACUUGGUAAAUCCAAAAUAGUGAUGUUGAUAUCAAUUUUAGUUUUCAUUCACAUGCUUCAUUAAUAUAUUGAAUUCACUUUACAGUUUGUAUUAAAAAGUUACAUUUGUGAUCAACUUGAGUUAGGGCAAUCAUUGACUUUGCUGAUUAUAUUUUGAUUUGUGAUUUUGACAUCAUGUGGCCUUUUGAAGAACUCCUAAUGCAGUUCCUUCUAGUCCUUCACUGGUACUGGUUAGGUCCACUGAACUCAUGUGCCCCAGAAAUGCUCGGCUCUAUCUUUGUGGCUACAUGAUAACUACAUAAGACACAUUAAUUACUUUCGCAAGGUGCUCCACGAAGACAUUGAUUGUGUUCUGUGAGAAUUGUGGUAGACACCUUGCAGUAACAAAAAUAAACAAAAGUAGACAGUCAAAUAGUGAAAUGUAUCCAAAACAAAUUAGAUUUUGGUUAUCAACAGAAUUUGGCUUAUUUUGUUUGAUGAUGGAUAUACCAUUCAUCAACACCUUGAAAAAGUUCCCUUACAUUGAUAUUUUAGUUGAGGGACAUCAGUUAUUAUAAUUUUCUUCUGAUUGAUGGUAAAAACGAUCAAGAACUGUCUAUAGAAGGUAAAGGGCAUGGAAUCUUUAGGCCAGCAAGAGAAACGGAGCGCACAUAAAGAAAUUAUGCAGUUCACAGUUAGAAUAUUACGAACUCAAAAUAUUCCUCCGUAGCCGACUUGCUGCCAUUGGGCGCGGUGACGUUGCCGCCAUAAUCAUCAAAGCAAGCGACGGUCCACGUUGCGUUGCAGUUUUUCCAAGGCAGAUCAUCAGUGAAGGACUGAAUCAUGUAAAAUAAGGACCACGCUAUGAUGAUAUUGUAGUAAGUUCCCACCAGGAAGGACAUGACCACUGUUCCCACUCCAGCGCCUGAAAGGAUACCGAACAGAGGAACUGUAAUCGUUCCUUGGAGUAUUUAUGCACGAAAUGAGAGGGAAAAGAGAGUGACAGGGACAUCUGUUUAAAAAAAAAAAAAAAUCACAGAGGAUCUUGAGUGACAUUAACUACUAAAUGAAAACAUGUAAUAUUCUCUUGGCUGUACAUAUAGACAUAGCAAUGUGGCAAUCGAUGGAACUAGUUUACAUGCAUGCUUCCCUGAGAAUGAUAUGACAGGAUGCCAGCCAUACAGUUACCUUUCAGCAAAGGGCAGAGUUUGGCCAGAGCUCCCACAGGGCCUCGUCGCGUGAACUGGCCCACCGUCAGUUCCAUGAGCAGCAGGGGGAUGCCGCACACGAACAGCAUUAUGAAGUAGGGAAUUAGAAAUGCACCUGAUGAAGAUAAUGUCGUUGUAAGUUAAAUGACAGGGCCGAUGGGAACAAACGGUGAAGAAGGUGUGACUUUCUUUCAACAUAUCGCAACUG